Ochlerotatus camptorhynchus is the source of this 951-nucleotide long non-coding RNA. RefSeq lists it as uncharacterized. Lineage: Eukaryota; Metazoa; Arthropoda; Insecta; Diptera; Culicidae. The transcript is spliced from 3 exons. The record is from RefSeq and is a predicted model, not a curated record.
UCUGCGUUCGUUCGUGGUUGGCGUGAGGUUUUGAACUUGUUGCGCUCACUCAAGAAGAAAAUAAAAGUGAACUUGAAGACAAACUGCGUGAGGCAAAUAUUGCUUCAAAUCGCGGAACGUGCGCUGCCUGUGGUCGGUCUGUAUGUAGUUGCCUACUUCCCAGAAGAAAAUAAAAAUCAAUGUGAGUGUAAAUUUUGAGGUUUCCUUCCCCUCUUCUCUGCGAGGUUUUAUUGAGAUAAUUUGGCAUGUGCAGACGAGUUCAAUGUGAAGGUUUUCGGUCCUAACAAUCCGGGGUUUGUUGUGGUAAUGAAACAGUGAUCUACAGGUGCGAGCGGGGUUUUACCCUGCUUCAUCUCGCCAGGAAAAAAAAACCGAGCCAAGGCUGAUUUAAUUGAAUUUUUCGAAUUGUUUUCCCAUCUGUUCGUGAAUCGUUUCGUUAGAAAAGUGAACGUUUUGUGAAUUUCCCAAUUGCUUCGGAGUUUCUACACGUCAGUAGUCUACGUAGAAUGUGCAACGAGCGACGUUGCGUUAGGUAAUCCAGCCUAUCGGGAGGAGUUUUCCGUGGUGAAAUACGACUGUGGAACGUGGAACGGAAAGUGACAAACAAAAAUCGAAACGGAAGGAAAAACUGAACACCGCGGAAAACCAGCGUGAAAGUGAGUCCCAACAGUAGCAGGCAGGCGACAUAGAAAGAUUAAUCGAACGUUGGAGUGUGCGACUUUAUCAUCUUCGAACCCGUUCACCGCGAUCUCCGGUAUGAGAGACGUUUUAUGCAAACUCUUGACUAAAUAAUAUCAUCGACUAACCCCACAUCCGAGACAAUACCUACCAGCAGCAGCAAAUUGUUCACGUUUCUCAGCUCGACCCGAAGAUCCGCCCGGCAAUGAUCAAGUUCCGUCGCUCAAAUGACCGAUCAUUAAAGCAACACUUUUUCAUACUGUUGCCAUUGCG